This 460-nucleotide ribosomal RNA is filed under the name uncultured bacterium. RNAcentral describes it as "partial 16S ribosomal RNA". It matches the Rfam family "Bacterial small subunit ribosomal RNA", at positions 338 to 795 of the family's 1533-position model. The record is from RNAcentral.
CCUACGGGAGGCAGCAGUGAGGAAUAUUGGUCAAUGGACGAGAGUCUGAACCAGCCAAGUAGCGUGAAGGAUGACUGCCCUAUGGGUUGUAAACUUCUUUUAUAUAGGAAUAAAACGAGGCACGUGUGCCUUUUUGUAUGUACUUUAUGAAUAAGGAUCGGCUAACUCCGUGCCAGCAGCCGCGGUAAUACGGAGGAUCCGAGCGUUAUCCGGAUUUAUUGGGUUUAAAGGGAGCGUAGAUGGGUUGUUAAGUCAGUUGUGAAAGUUUGCGGCUCAACCGUAAAAUUGCAAUUGAUACUGGCAGUCUUGAGGACAGUUGAGGUAGGCGGAAUUCGUGGUGUAGCGGUGAAAUGCUUAGAUAUCACGAAGAACCCCGAGUGCGAAGGCAGCUUACUAAACUGUGACUGACAUUGAUGCUCGAAAGUGUGGGUAUCAAACAGGAUUAGAUACCCUUGUAGUC